CCUUAACUGAGAUAUUACUGUACUUCCAGGGGCAGAGUUGUAAACCAGGGAGAAAGAAGAGUCAGCCAGAUGUUUUUUCCUAGUUCCUGCGUGCAGCUUCUGGCUGAACCGGCAUUCAGCCGGCCCGGACACUUCCAAACAGGCAAUAGGAUGCCACAGACCUUCUACCAGAUCUUCCCCUUCUGCUUCCCUGGCGUUGGAUUGCUCCAUAAAGCAUGUUUGUGCCUUUUCACCUUUUGACUAACAUGGGACAAAGAAAAUUUGUUUGACCCUCCUAUCAGAAUUAGAUUAUUUUAUUUUGUGCUUUGAAUUCCAAAUGAUGUGAUUUCCUAAAUAUAAUCCUAUUUUGUGCUCCAAACUUCUUCUGGGUUUGAACCUUCUGUACUGCUCUACACUCUAACUCUAACUCUAACCUGUGGACUUCUUGGACUCCAGCUGCUAUCAGGCCCAGUCAGCAUGGCUAAUGGUCAAGUUUGAUGGGAGUAGAAGUCCAACAACAUCUGGAGGACUAAGGUUUUCUAUUUCUGUUCUAAAUGUUCUGUUUUGUUUUAGCGAUAUUGAUGUUUUGGUUUUAUGGAAGAAACUGCUGCUUAGAGGGCAAAUAAAGAUAUAUAUAUAAAUUGCCAAUUCAGUGUAAUGGCAAGAGACAUCUCCCAGCUUUUUUUCAGAUAUAAAACUAUUAGACCGCAGAGUUUCCCAACCUUUGGGUCCCCAGAUGUUGUCAGACAUCAACUCCCACCAGCCCCAGCCAGCAUGGCCAAUGGUUAGGAAGAAUGGGAAUUGUAGUCCAGCAACAUCUGGGGACUUAAAGGUCAGAAAAGGCUUUUAGAGUACACAGGGCCAAGAGGCUGGUAAGUUGUAACACACCCAUCCUCCUUAGCCUUAGUAAUGUGUCUCAUGCACAGAUCACUAGGUGCUGAAUGUAGGUUUCCCCCAAUAAAUAAUCAUAUUUCCAUAAAUUGGAUCCAGAAGGACAAUGCACUAAUGGAAGCCUGUUUCUGUGUGUACAACACCCUUAUUAUUUAUAUCAGGCUGUAUAUGUUUGUUUUUGUAUUAGAUCACAGUUUUAAUUCUCACUAUAUGCUGUUUAUGUUCUGCCAUGCUAAUACAUUGGUUGUGGUGCUAUUUGGGCACAAGAUUACAGAUAAUUAUUCCCAUUCAUUCUGGUUUUCCUUUCAUGUUUUGCCAAUUGGGUUUUUCCAGCAUGCCCAUUCAUUGUUGCUAUGGGGAAUAGCCUUUUUGCUAUUUACCAUUUAUGUUGUAAAUUUUGGUGCUCAAAGUGCUUUUUUGUUGGGGAAGAGAAUGACAAAAAUGUGAGAAAACUCAAGGGCUGCCUAUAAGAUUACUUUUCCAGCUAAAGGACCUGGUUCUUCAAAUCUCUGAAUUUCAAAUCUCUGAGUGACUGGAAGAUUUCUUAAACAUCUUUUGUUUAUGAUAUAGUAAAAGUGAUGGCUUUGGGUAAAGGUGCCAUGAUCCCUCAGCAUUAAUGCAAUAGUUUGCCAUAGGUGCAAAAUAAAAAUAUCCAGAGGAGUAUGCAGCAAAAACAAUUGAAGAGUUUUGUGGUACCUACGCUAAAGACUAACACUUUUAUUAUGGCAUAAGCUUUCCUGGACUCAGAUCCAUUUUACAGAUGCAUGAAGUGAAAUCUUAGUUGACAUGUAUAUAAAGGAGAAAAUUGU
This is a long non-coding RNA of Rhineura floridana, 1679 nucleotides long. RefSeq lists it as uncharacterized. NCBI's taxonomy places the organism in Eukaryota, Metazoa, Chordata, Lepidosauria, Squamata, Rhineuridae. The transcript is spliced from 3 exons. The record is from RefSeq and is a predicted model, not a curated record.